RNAcentral lists this ribosomal RNA (254 nucleotides) under uncultured bacterium. RNAcentral's name for it is "partial 16S ribosomal RNA". It matches the Rfam family "Bacterial small subunit ribosomal RNA", at positions 524 to 776 of the family's 1533-position model. RNAcentral also lists the same sequence under 1 other name. The record is from RNAcentral.
GACGAACCGUGCGAACGUUAUUCGGAAUCACUGGGCUUAAAGCGCGUGUAGGCGGGUCGGUGCGUCGGCCGCUGAAAUCCCCCGGCUCAACCGGGGAAGGGGCGCCGAUACGACCGGCCUGGAGCGACGUAGGGGGAACUGGAACUUCCGGUGGAGCGGUGAAAUGCGUUGAGAUCGGAAGGAACGCCCGUGGCGAAAGCGAGUUCCUGGACGUCGGCUGACGCUGAGACGCGAAAGCCAGGGGAGCGAACGGG